Molecule: ribosomal RNA, 443 nt
Filed under: uncultured bacterium
Lineage: Bacteria
Description: partial 16S ribosomal RNA
Rfam family: Bacterial small subunit ribosomal RNA
Source: RNAcentral
CCUACGGGUGGCAGCAGUGGGGAAUAUUGGGCAAUGGGCGCAAGCCUGACCCAGCCACGCCGCGUGAAGGAAGAAGGCUUUCGGGUUGUAAACUUCUUUUAUCAGGGACGAAGCAAGUAACGGUACCUGAGGAAUAAGCCACGGCUAAAUACGUGCCAGCAGCCGCGGUAAUACGUAGGUGGCAAGCGUUAUCCGGAUUUACUGGGGGGAAAGGGCGUGUCGGCGGGGGGGCAAGUCAGCUGUGAAACCUAUGGGCUCAACCCAUAGCCUGCAUUUGAACCUGUACUUCGUGAGUGCUGGAGAGGCAAUCGGAAUUCCGGGUGUAGCGGUGAAAUGCGGAGAUAUACGGAGGAACACCAGUGGCGAAGGCGGAUUGCUGGACAGUAACUGACGCUGAGGCGCGAAAGCGUGGGGAGCAAACAGGAUUAGAUACCCGGGUAGUC